RNAcentral lists this ribosomal RNA (253 nucleotides) under uncultured bacterium. RNAcentral's name for it is "partial 16S ribosomal RNA". It matches the Rfam family "Bacterial small subunit ribosomal RNA", at positions 524 to 776 of the family's 1533-position model. The record is from RNAcentral.
UACGUAGGGUGCAAGCGUUGUCCGGAAUUAUUGGGCGUAAAGAGCUCGUAGGCGGUUUGUCGCGUCUGCUGUAAAAACUCGGGGCUUAACCCUGGGCCUGCAGUGGGUACGGGCAGACUAGAGUGCGGUAGGGGAGACUGGAAUUCCUGGUGUAGCGGUGAAAUGCGCAGAUAUCAGGAGGAACACCGGUGGCGAAGGCGGGUCUCUGGGCCGUAACUGACGCUGAGGAGCGAAAGCGUGGGGAGCGAACAGG